CCUGAUUCCUACAAAUUUUAACAAGCGCCACCUUUGAUGGGAGACUCGCAAGCGCUAAUGAGCUUCUUUGCCGACAGGUGGAGAGAGGGCCUCGGACCCACAGUCAGAGGCACAGUCUGCAGGCUGGGGGAGCAGACGCUAUUUAUAAAGCUUCUCUCCGGGGUCGGUCACCGGCGGUCAAAGCCUGGGAGCUCCUCUGCCCGGGCCACUCCCGAUGCUCUGGGUGUACGCGGAGCCACGGUCCCCUCUCCCUUCGCCAGUGCCCUGAGGCGGAUGGAUCCGACGGGAGCGGCCACCGACCAGAACCAAGUGGAACUGCAUUAAAGCGAAGAUGCAAGAAAUGAUUGGGCUUAGCAUUCUUUCUCUGCUUGGCUGGAAGCUUCUCAAGAGCCAGGGGUGAGUCUUUUAUUUCUUCCAUCCUCCCACCUGAUGCCCUGCCCGCCUCUGUUCUCACCAGAGUGGAUGCAGGGCAGGGCAGAAACUUCUGUGAUAGAGCGGGGAGGAGGCCGCCCAGAGGGAAGGUCGGAGCCGGAAAGACGGCCCGUGACCAGGAUGGUGCUGUCUCUUCCCUUUGUUGAGGCUUCCUGGGGUGGCCCGCCAGGUAGGUGGGGCGGGGGCUGGGGCGCUGUGUUAAGUGCAAUUUUUACAUUCUCCCAAGGGGAACUUCUUCCCUCCUGAUGUGGAAUUGUAUGCUUAAACUUGCUCGGUGACCUUUGGGAUACCAUCAGCCAGCCAGUUAAGAACCUAGGAAAAGGCCCUUGGUCUGAUUCGACUGUGGUCCCUGCUGAUUUGACCAUGUGCCCAGAUUACUGUAUAUAGUUGAUGGCAAUGAGGUUUGAUGAAUAUUCAUGUUUGUUGAAGGCCUGUAAUUUCUGUCUGCAUAUUAGCUUUUAAUGUGGAAGGGUUGAACGACAUUGAGGCGUUCCCACUGUUGUGCAGCAGGACAGGCAGGCGGUGUUUGGGUUGUGCUGGGACACAGGUUCAAUCCCCGGCCUGGCACAGCAGGUUUAGGAUCUGGUGUUGCCCCGCCCCUGUGGCUUAGGUCACAACCAUGGCUCGGAUCUGAUCCCCCCUGGCCUGGGAACUCCACGUGCUGCUGGGCAGCCAAAAAAGGAAAAAACAAACAAACAAAAAAAAAAAAAAAAAAAAAAAGAGAGACACUACAUUGACAUCUGUUAAAAAAAUAAAAAUCAAAAUACUGCUUUUUAAGACA
RNAcentral lists this long non-coding RNA (1213 nucleotides) under Sus scrofa (pig). RNAcentral's name for it is "lncRNA (ENSSSCG00070005253.1)". The record is from RNAcentral. Lineage: Eukaryota; Metazoa; Chordata; Mammalia; Artiodactyla; Suidae.